RNAcentral lists this ribosomal RNA (430 nucleotides) under uncultured bacterium. RNAcentral describes it as "bacterial SSU rRNA". It matches the Rfam family "Bacterial small subunit ribosomal RNA", at positions 30 to 445 of the family's 1533-position model. The record is from RNAcentral.
AUUGAACGCUGGCGGCGUGCCUAACACAUGCAAGUCGAGCGGUAACAGGUGUAGCAAUACAUGCUGACGAGCGGCGAACGGGUGAGUAAUGCUUCGGAAUCUGCCCAUGUAGUGGGGAAUAACCAGCCGAAAGGUUGGCUAAUACCGCAUACGACCCUUGCCCACAAGGCAAAGGUGAAAGCAGGGGAUCGCAAGACCUUGCGCUAUUGGAUGAGCCGAAGUCGGAUUAGCUAGUUGGUAGGGUAACGGCCUACCAAGGCGACGAUCCGUAGCUGGUCUGAGAGGACGACCAGCCACACUGGGACUGAGACACGGCCCAGACUCCUACGGGAGGCAGCAGUGGGGAAUAUUGGACAAUGGGGCAACCCUGAUCCAGCGACGCCGCGUGUGUGAAGAAGGCCUGCGGGUUGUAAAGCACUUUUAGUGGGGA